RNAcentral lists this ribosomal RNA (253 nucleotides) under uncultured bacterium. Its description in RNAcentral is "partial 16S ribosomal RNA". It matches the Rfam family "Bacterial small subunit ribosomal RNA", at positions 524 to 776 of the family's 1533-position model. The record is from RNAcentral.
UACGAAGGGGGCUAGCGUUGUUCGGAAUUACUGGGCGUAAAGCGCACGUAGGCGGAUUGUUAAGUCGGGGGUGAAAUCCCGGGGCUCAACCCCGGAACUGCCUUCGAUACUGGCAAUCUCGAGUCCGGAAGAGGUGAGUGGAAUUCCGAGUGUAGAGGUGAAAUGCGUAGAUAUCCGGAGGAACACCAGUGGCGAAGGCGGCCACCUGGGCUGUACCUGACGCUCAAACACGAAAGCUAGGGGAGCGAACGGG